Molecule: ribosomal RNA, 253 nt
Filed under: uncultured bacterium
Lineage: Bacteria
Description: partial 16S ribosomal RNA
Rfam family: Bacterial small subunit ribosomal RNA
Source: RNAcentral
UACGUAGGGUGCGAGCGUUAAUCGGAAUUACUGGGCGUAAAGCGUGCGCAGGCGGUUUUGUAAGCCAGAUGUGAAAGCCCCGGGCUUAACCUGGGAAUGGCAUUUGGGACUGCAAGGCUUGAGUGCGGCAGAGGAGACUGGAAUUCCUGGUGUAGCAGUGAAAUGCGUAGAUAUUGGGAGGAACACCAAUUGCGAAGGCAGCUCGCUGGGACGUCACUGACGCUGAGACGCGAAAGCGUGGGGAGCAAACAGG